RNAcentral lists this ribosomal RNA (497 nucleotides) under uncultured bacterium. Its description in RNAcentral is "partial 16S ribosomal RNA". It matches the Rfam family "Bacterial small subunit ribosomal RNA", at positions 28 to 507 of the family's 1533-position model. The record is from RNAcentral.
GAUGAACGCUGGCGGCGUGCCUAAUACAUGCAAGUCGAGCGAACGGACGAGAAGCUUGCUUUUCUGAUGUUAGCGGCGGACGGGUGAGUAACACGUGGAUAACCUACCUAUAAGACUGGGAUAACUUCGGGAAACCGGAGCUAAUACCGGAUAAUAUUUUGAACCGCAUGGUUCAAAAGUGAAAGAAGGUAUUGCUGUCACUUAUAGAUGGAUCCGCGCUGCAUUAGCUAGUUGGUAAGGUAACGGCUUACCAAGGCAACGAUGCAGAGCCGACCUGAGAGGGUGAUCGGCCACACUGGAACUGAGACACGGUCCAGACUCCUACGGGAGGCAGCAGUAGGGAAUCUUCCGCAAUGGGCGAAAGCCUGACGGAGCAACGCCGCGUGAGUGAUGAAGGUCUUCGGAUCGUAAAACUCUGUUAUUAGGGAAGAACAUAUGUGUAAGUAACUGUGCACAUCUUGACGGUACCUAAUCAGAAAGCCACGGCUAACUACGUG